RNAcentral lists this long non-coding RNA (228 nucleotides) under Bos indicus x Bos taurus (hybrid cattle). RNAcentral describes it as "lncRNA (ENSBIXG00000000902.1)". The record is from RNAcentral. Lineage: Eukaryota; Metazoa; Chordata; Mammalia; Artiodactyla; Bovidae.
UCGGAGAACAUGGAUUCCUGGCUGCACCAGAUAUCUAAACCAGUACCUGAGGAUUCCUUUCUCUGCCCCCAAGUUUUUAAAACAUGGAGAACAAGAAAGAAAGAACCCGAGGAACAACUCAGAGGAGCCCUUGUCAUCACAUUAAACUAUUACCCAAAGUCUCAGAAAUUGUAUUGAAUAACCCAGUUUUGUGAAGCCAAAUAAACCAAAGUGUUAGAAUAUAGACCA